UAGGUGAAUACACAAAUCCGUUCUAACGU
RNAcentral lists this small RNA (29 nucleotides) under Bombyx mori (domestic silkworm). Its description in RNAcentral is "ovarian small RNA-22785". Lineage: Eukaryota; Metazoa; Arthropoda; Insecta; Lepidoptera; Bombycidae. The record is from RNAcentral.